GGUCUAGUAGCUCAGCUGAAUAGAGCGUCCCUCUCCUAAAGGGAAGGUCACGAGUUUGAAUCUCGUCUGGACCA
RNAcentral lists this transfer RNA (74 nucleotides) under Caudoviricetes sp. Its description in RNAcentral is "tRNA-Arg". It matches the Rfam family "tRNA". Rfam says of the family: Transfer RNA (tRNA) molecules are approximately 80 nucleotides in length. Lineage: Duplodnaviria; Heunggongvirae; Uroviricota; Caudoviricetes. The record is from RNAcentral. RNAcentral also lists the same sequence under 1 other name.